UGAGGAAUAUUGGUCAAUGGGGGCAACCCUGAACCAGCCAAGUCGCGUGAAGGAUGUAGGUCUUAUGGAUUGUAAACUUCUUUUACACGGGAAUAAAGUGGGGGACGUGUCCCCCUUUGCAUGUACCGUGUGAAUAAGGAUCGGCUAACUCCGUGCCAGCAGCCGCGGUAAUACGGAGGAUCCGAGCGUUAUCCGGAUUUAUUGGGUUUAAAGGGUGCGCAGGCGGGAUGUUAAGUCGGCGGUGAAAUUUUGCAGCUCAACUGUAAAAGUGCCUUCGAUACUGGCCUCCUUGAGUGUGGAUGAAGUAGGCGGAAUUUGUGGUGUAGCGGUGAAAUGCUUAGAUAUCACGAGGAACUCCGAUUGCGCAGGCAGCUUACUAAGCCACAACUGACGCUCAUGCACGAAGGCGUGGGGAUCAAAC
RNAcentral lists this ribosomal RNA (421 nucleotides) under uncultured bacterium. RNAcentral describes it as "bacterial SSU rRNA". It matches the Rfam family "Bacterial small subunit ribosomal RNA", at positions 355 to 773 of the family's 1533-position model. The record is from RNAcentral.